GGCAGACGGGUGAGUAACAUGUAGGUAUCUGCCCUUUGGCCUGGAAUAACACGAGGAAACUUGUGCUAAUACCGGAUAAGUCUUUACGGAGAAAGCUUUAUGCACCAUUGGAUGAGCCUGCACUUGAUUAGUUUGUUGGUGGGGUAAUGGCCUACCAAGACUGUGAUCAAUAGCUGAUUUGAGAGGAUGAUCAGCCACAUUGGGACUGAGACACGGCCCAAACUCCUACGGGAGGCAGCAGUGGGGAAUCUUGCACAAUGGAGGAAACUCUGAUGCAGCGAUGCCGCGUGAGUGAAGAAGGCCUUUGGGUUGUAAAGCUCUUUCGUCGGGGAAGAAAAUGACUGUACCCGAAUAAGAAGGUCCGGCUAACUUCGUGCCAGCAGCCGCGGUAAUACGAAGGGACCUAGCGUAGUUCGGAAUUACUGGGCUUAAAGAGUUCGUAGGUGGUUGAAAAAGUUGGUGGUGAAAUCCCAGAGCUUAACUCUGGAACUGCCAUCAAAACUUUUCAGCUAGAGUAUGAUAGAGGAAAGCAGAAUUUCUAGUGUAGAGGUGAAAUUCGUAGAUAUUAGAAAGAAUACCAAUUGCGAAGGCAGCUUUCUGGAUCAUUACUGACGCUGAGGAACGAAAGCAUGGGUAGCGAAGAGGAUUAGAUACCCUCGUAGUCCAUGCCGUAAACGAUGUGUGUUAGACGUUGGAAAUUUAUUUUCAGUGUCGCAGCGAAAGCGAUAAACACACCGCCUGGGGAGUACGACCGCAAGGUUAAAACUCAAAUGAAUUGACGGGGACCCGCACAAGUAGUGGAGCAUGUGGUUUAAUUCGAAGAUACGCGCAGAACCUUACCAACACUUGACAUGUUCGUCGCGACUUUAAGAGAUUAAAGUUUUCGGUUCGGCCGGACGAAACACAGGUGCUGCAUGGCUGUCGUCAGCUCGUGUCGUGAGAUGUUGGGUUAAGUCCCGCAACGAGCGCAACCCUCACUUUUAGUUGCCAUCAUUUAGUUGGGCACUCUGAAAGAACUGCCAGUGAUAAGCUGGAGGAAGGUGGGGAUGACGUCAAGUCCUCAUGGCCCUUACGUGUUGGGCUACACACGUGCUACAAUGGUAUCUACAACAGGAAGCAAAAUCGCGAGGUUAAGCAAAUCCUCAAAAGAUACCUCAGUUCGGAUUGCACUCUGCAACUCGAGUGCAUGAAGCUGGAAUUACUAGUAAUCGUGGAUCAGCGUGCCACGGUGAAUGCGUUCCCGGGUCUUGUACACACCGCCCGUCACACCAUGGGAGUUGGUUCUACCUUAA
Molecule: ribosomal RNA, 1292 nt
Filed under: uncultured bacterium
Lineage: Bacteria
Description: bacterial SSU rRNA
Rfam family: Bacterial small subunit ribosomal RNA
Source: RNAcentral